Molecule: ribosomal RNA, 497 nt
Filed under: uncultured bacterium
Lineage: Bacteria
Description: partial 16S ribosomal RNA
Rfam family: Bacterial small subunit ribosomal RNA
Source: RNAcentral
GAUGAACGCUGGCGGCGUGCCUAAUACAUGCAAGUCGAGCGAACAGAUGAGGAGAUUGCUCCUCUGACGUUAGCGACGGACGGGUGAGUAACACGUGGAUAACCUACCUAUAAGACUGGGAUAACUUCGGGAAACCGGAGCUAAUACUGGACAAUAUAUUGAACCGCAUGGUUAUAUAGUGAAAGUCGGUAUUGCUGUCACUUAUAGAUGGAUCCGCGCCGCAUUUGCUCGUUGGGAAGGUAACGGCUUACCAAGGCAACGAUGCGUAGCCGACCUGAGAGGGGGGUCGGCCACGCUAGAACGGGAACGCGGUCCAGACUCCAACGGUAGGCAGCAGAGGGGAAUCUACCGCAAGGGGCGAAAGCCUAACGGAACAACGCCGCGUGAGUUAUGAGGGUCUUCGGAUCGUAAAACUCUGUUAUUAUGGAAGAACAAAUGUGUAAGUAACUAUGCACUACGUGACGGUACCUAAUCAGAAAGCCACGGCUAACUACGUG